CACCGCGGUGAAACGAGGUGACCCAAAUUGAUAACUACGGCGUAAAGGGUGGUUAAAACCUAUUAAACUAGAACCAAACCCCCUCAUUAUUGUGACAAGUUUGCUGGGGAAAGAAGCACUAUAGACGAAAGUAGUUCUACACAUUUGAAACCACGAAGACUAGGGUUA
This 168-nucleotide ribosomal RNA is filed under the name Callionymus japonicus (Japanese dragonet). Its description in RNAcentral is "partial 12S rRNA". The record is from RNAcentral. Lineage: Eukaryota; Metazoa; Chordata; Actinopteri; Syngnathiformes; Callionymidae.